This is a long non-coding RNA of Hipposideros armiger (great roundleaf bat), 1293 nucleotides long. RefSeq lists it as uncharacterized. The record is from RefSeq and is a predicted model, not a curated record. Lineage: Eukaryota; Metazoa; Chordata; Mammalia; Chiroptera; Hipposideridae. The transcript has 3 exons.
UGCAAUCUCAGGAGCCAGGGUAGGAAUGCCUAAGGCUGACCCACAAACUCAGAGAACGUGGGGAACUAACAUUUGCUAAGAGAAAAAAGGCUAGUAGCUAGGAAAAGUCCAAAGGAUCGUGUCUAAGACAAAGACAGGUAAGAACAAGCUAGAUCAGCAACUAUAAGCAAGCCCGACUGGUUACUAAGAACCUAGAGAUGACCCAAAAGUAAGCAUUUCUAAACAGAGGGAAGACGUUUUUAUGGGGUCCCUGUGGCCUGUCCAGGCUCAGUUGGUAGAACAAUUAAGGGUGCCAAGACAUGAUAGAUGAUCACUUUUAAUUCUGAAGAGACUUUAAAAAGGUAAAAAGCUUUAGCAUCUCAAUUUCGAAUGUACUGAGUACAGCCCUCGAGGCAUAUUUGUCUUUGUACAUCCCUGAGCCCUGAGCCCUAAGACCCCCACCCCCAGAGAGAUAAGGAAUGAGGAGCAGCCAACAAAGGCACUGCUGAGGAAGGGCGGGGAGGAGGGACUGGUGUCCCAGAGCUAAGUAAACAAAGUGUUUCAAAAAGGAGAAUGUGAGCAACUGUGUCAAAUAUCACUGACAUCUGCGCAAGUGGUGACCUUGACCGGGGCACUGCAUGCCUGAAGUCAGUGCAAGCAAGAACCGCAGGAAAGAAAGUGAAGAGAGCAACUGUAGACCAAGCUUUUAAGGAGUUUUGUGACUGAGGAGGGGCAGCAGCAAAAAGAAAAGAAAAGAAAUGGAACCACUGGAAUGGACCAAUUGCUCAGGUGAUGCCCGUGAACUGGAGAGAAGGAACAGGAGGACCCAGGGCUACUGGAGGGGCUGGUCAUGGAGAGGUUACCGGUGUUAGAGCUCGCCAAUGUGAAGAAUUGACAGAAAAUUCAGUCAUUAAUGGGACUUAGGAAAAAUUCAAAUACUGUAAUUUAAAUCGAAGCCAUUCUCUAAAUGAAGGUAAAUUAGCAUUAACACUGAAUAAACUAGGCCUUUAGGCAUCAUUUUCAGAUUAUCUAACUAAAUUAGAGUUCUGGAUGUUACUCAAGAAAUUAUAAUGCAAAUGGAGCUGGUACAAAUAGUUGCAGGCUUUUAGAGUUCCACUGAAGUUCUAUGCAAAGAUAUGUGAGAAUUUAAUUUCCCCACAUCUACUUGCUUUUUAUUUCUUACCUACUGUGACUUCUGUAAAACCCAGUGUGUCGAACUCAGCAGUUUCUUUAUUCAUGGCACUUUCAAUUACUUCAUUAAAUACAUCCAUUCACUUACAUAAUUAUAAACAAUUGGUUUUUCCACAUGCACAA